AGUGAGAUGCCUGAAAAAGGUUAAUUUUGAUAGAAUUACUCAUGCAGUCCGCGCUGUUCUCACUA
RNAcentral lists this transfer RNA (65 nucleotides) under Papunya picta. RNAcentral's name for it is "tRNA-Ile". Lineage: Eukaryota; Metazoa; Arthropoda; Insecta; Coleoptera; Cerambycidae. The record is from RNAcentral.